AGCAGUGGGGGAAGUAUUGCACAAUGGGGGAAACCCUCGAUGCAGCCAUGCCGCGUGUGUGAAGAAGGCCUUCGGGUUGUAAAGCACUUUCAGUAGGGAGGAAGGUAGUGUAGUUAACACCUGCAUUAUUUGACGUUACCUACCAGAAGAAAGCACCGGCUAACUCCGUGCCAGCAGCCGCGGUAAUACGGAGGGUGCGAGCGUUAAUCGGAAUUACUGGGCGUAAAGCGCAUGCAGGCGGCCUGUUAAGUUCAGAUGUGAAAGACCCGGGGCCGUUAACCUUCCGGAAUUGCAUUUGUAAACUAGGCAGGCUAGAGUCUUGUAGAGGGGGGUAGGAAUUUCAGGUGUAGCGGUGAAAUAGCGUAGAGAUCUGAAGGAAUACCAGUGGCGAAGGCGGCCCCCUCGGACAAAGACUGACGCUCAGAUGCGAAAGCGUGGGGAGCAAACGGGAUUAGAUACCCCUGGUAG
Molecule: ribosomal RNA, 468 nt
Filed under: uncultured bacterium
Lineage: Bacteria
Description: bacterial SSU rRNA
Rfam family: Bacterial small subunit ribosomal RNA
Source: RNAcentral